This is a long non-coding RNA of Asparagus officinalis (garden asparagus), 765 nucleotides long. RefSeq lists it as uncharacterized. The transcript is spliced from 3 exons. NCBI's taxonomy places the organism in Eukaryota, Viridiplantae, Streptophyta, Magnoliopsida, Asparagales, Asparagaceae. The record is from RefSeq and is a predicted model, not a curated record.
UUUCAAUUCUGUCAAUUGUCCAUGCUUAACUAUAUUUUAAUUUUUAGAGAUAUUUCAACAUCGAAGACAAUCCCGUAGGGUGGGAAUUUUUAUUUGGAUACCAGGGAAAGUUCAAGCAUUCUCUUCGGGAGUGGAGACACGAGAUAAAGAAGAAAUGCGUUGAUUGUUUCACUCACAACUGGGAGAGGAUAUACAAGCGAGAUAAGAGGGUUGAGCCUGAGCACUUAGCUGCACUUAUAAUAUUGUGGGGCCAAGAGGAGCACCAGGAAAAAUGUCGGAGAAAUAAACUUAAUCGAUGGAAAAAAGAUUAUGAUCAUCAUACGGGGACUACUUCAUUUGCCCAGAUUGAGGAUCAAUUUUGUAGGACAACGAACGCUCCCUUUAUCCCGCUACCAGAACUGCACAGGAGAACGAUGGUUCAAUUUAAGAAGGGGUAUGAUGACGAUGAGAAUAAAAAACAAAAGCUAGAAUUGGCCAAGAAAAUGUAGGUUAACUAAUUAUCUUAGCUCUUAGUAGCCUGUUCUUUUGUUGGGAAUUUAUUGUUUGCACUCUUCUUUUGGUCAUCUUAAUUAUCAUGUAUGAUCCAAAUGCACAUGUGUUCGAUAUGUUGUUUGUUACAAUUUAACGAGGGAAGAAAGCUUUAAACCACAGAGGGAUUUCUUUGUUCAUCUGUCAGGUUCAGUCUAUAGAUCUAGUGAAAGCCUGAAAAAUGUUUAGCUCAACUGUCCUAGGGAAAUGAAACCUGUAGUGUUUUUAGUUAAAAAU